Molecule: ribosomal RNA, 491 nt
Filed under: uncultured bacterium
Lineage: Bacteria
Description: partial 16S ribosomal RNA
Rfam family: Bacterial small subunit ribosomal RNA
Source: RNAcentral
AGUGAACGCUGGCGGUAGGCCUAACACAUGCAAGUCGAACGGCAGCACAGUAAGAGCUUGCUCUUACGGGUGGCGAGUGGCGGACGGGUGAGGAAUACAUCGGAAUCUACUUUUUCGUGGGGGAUAACGUAGGGAAACUUACGCUAAUACCGCAUACGACCUACGGGUGAAAGCAGGGGAUCUUCGGACCUUGCGCGAUUGAAUGAGCCGAUGUCGGAUUAGCUAGUUGGCGGGGUAAAGGCCCACCAAGGCGACGAUCCGUAGCUGGUCUGAGAGGAUGAACAGCCACACUGGAACUGAAACAGGGCCAAGACCCCAACGGGAGGCAGCAGGGGGGAAAUUUGGAAAAGGGGCGAAAGCCUGACCCAGCCAUACCGGGGGGGUGAAGAAGGCCUUCGGGUUGAAAAGCCCUUUUGUUGGGAAAAAAAAGCAGCAGGUUAAACCCCCGCUGUUCUGACGGUACCAAAAAAAAAAGCACCGGCUAACUUCGG